AGGAUGAACGCUGGCGGCGUGCCUAAUACAUGCAAGUCGAACGGAGCCUUCGGGCUUAGUGGCGAACGGGUGAGUAACACGUUGGUACCUACCCUCUAGUGGGGAAUAACUGCCCGAAAGGGUGGCUAAUACCGCAUAAUACCGCAAGGUUAAAGCAGUAAUGCGCUAGAGGAGGGGCCUGCGUCCCAUUAGCUUGUUGGUAGUGUAAUGGACUACCAAGGCGACGAUGGGUAGCUGGAUCGAGAGGUUGACCAGCCACACUGGGACUGAGAUACGGCCCAGACUCCUACGGGAGGCAGCAGUAAGGAAUCUUCCACAAUGGACGAAAGUCUGAUGGAGCAACGCCGCGUGCAGGAUGACGGUCUUCGGAUUGUAAACUGCUUUUAUAUGGGAAGAUUAUGACGGUACCAUAUGAAUAAGGACCGGCUAACUACGUGCCAGCAGCCGC
This 448-nucleotide ribosomal RNA is filed under the name uncultured bacterium. RNAcentral's name for it is "SSU rRNA". It matches the Rfam family "Bacterial small subunit ribosomal RNA", at positions 26 to 518 of the family's 1533-position model. The record is from RNAcentral.